CUACGGGAGGCAGCAGUGGGGAAUUUUGGACAAUGGGCGCAAGCCUGAUCCAGCAAUGCCGCGUGCAGGAUGAAGGCCUUCGGGUUGUAAACUGCUUUUGUACGGAGCGAAAAGGCUUCUUCUAAUACAGGAGGCUCAUGACGGUACCGUAAGAAUAAGCACCGGCUAACUACGUGCCAGCAGCCGCGGUAAUACGUAGGGUGCAAGCGUUAAUCGGAAUUACUGGGCGUAAAGCGUGCGCAGGCGGUUAUGUAAGACAGACGUGAAAUCCCCGGGCUCAACCUGGGAACUGCGUUUGUGACUGCAUAGCUAGAGUACGGUAGAGGGGGGUGGAAUUCCGCGUGUAGCAGUGAAAUGCGUAGAUAUGCGGAGGAACACCGAUGGCGAAGGCAGCCCCCUGGACCUGUACUGACGCUCAUGCACGAAAGCAUGGGGAGCAAACAGGAUUAGAUACCCCGGUAGC
This 463-nucleotide ribosomal RNA is filed under the name uncultured bacterium. RNAcentral describes it as "bacterial SSU rRNA". It matches the Rfam family "Bacterial small subunit ribosomal RNA", at positions 339 to 794 of the family's 1533-position model. The record is from RNAcentral.